This 618-nucleotide ribosomal RNA is filed under the name uncultured bacterium. Its description in RNAcentral is "bacterial SSU rRNA". It matches the Rfam family "Bacterial small subunit ribosomal RNA", at positions 338 to 944 of the family's 1533-position model. The record is from RNAcentral.
CCUACGGGAGGCAGCAGUGGGGAAUUUUGGACAAUGGGCGAAAGCCUGAUCCAGCCAUGCCGCGUGCAGGAUGAAGGCCUUCGGGUUGUAAACUGCUUUUGUACGGAACGAAAAGCCUCUUUCUAAUAAAGAGGGGUCAUGACGGUACCGUAAGAAUAAGCACCGGCUAACUACGUGCCAGCAGCCGCGGUAAUACGUAGGGUGCGAGCGUUAAUCGGAAUUACUGGGCGUAAAGCGUGCGCAGGCGGUUAUAUAAGACAGUUGUGAAAUCCCCGGGCUCAACCUGGGAACUGCAUCUGUGACUGUAUAGCUAGAGUACGGUAGAGGGGGAUGGAAUUCCGCGUGUAGCAGUGAAAUGCGUAGAUAUGCGGAGGAACACCGAUGGCGAAGGCAAUCCCCUGGACCUGUACUGACGCUCAUGCACGAAAGCGUGGGGAGCAAACAGGAUUAGAUACCCUGGUAGUCCACGCCCUAAACGAUGUCAACUGGUUGUUGGGAAUUCACUUUCUCAGUAACGAAGCUAACGCGUGAAGUUGACCGCCUGGGGAAGUACGGCCGCAAGGUUGAAACUCAAANAGAGUAGAGCGNGAGAGNGCGACGACGACGACGAGGAGGAGG